AGAGACGCUAAGACAGAAGAACUACCGCGUCUGUAAAAUGAUUAAUAUGGUGAUUAUUACUUCAAGGAAAUGAUAAAGAAAUGAUCAUAAAUGUUCUUCCUUGAGCUGCGGCACCCCGCUGUAGUCCAUAAUGGACUGGCCUGAGGUCUCUCUACAAACAAGCGUCUGCUGGAAGAGAGUAGGUGAGUUGUGUUUAGUCUCUUUGUUAAAGAAACUGACAAGCAGAGAGUCUGUCAGGUCAUAUGUCUACAGUCAGUAAAUGGUGUCAUGUCCCUUUAAAUCAAACGCCCACUCAAACAUCUGCUGGUAAAGACAGAAAGUUCCAGAACCUGAUCCUUCUUUCCUUCUUCUUCUUCUUUUUGAGGUUACCCCGUCGUCACUUGGCGCCCUCGCUGAAUCCCUCUCUCCGUACGCCAGCACAAACAGCGGUUAUUGGCUCCUUCUCCACUCCUUUGAAACGCUGACCAGCUUUCUGACACCGAGCUUUGGAAACCGCCACCGAGCUCACGCUGCGAGCCGCCAGGCGCUCAGCUGGAUUCUGGGAGGAGCUGGGAGGGGGGGUCGGUUCUCAGCUGAGAGGGAUUAUGGGUAACAACCGAGAAGUUUGACAUCAUACUUUCACUGAGCGACAAGACAACUGUAGGAACACAUGCAGGUCCUGAGGGAAUCUAGUUCUACAUCUAUACACCUUUAUAUCUAUACACCUAUACAGCUGUACAUCUAUACAUCUAAAGAUCUACCUGUCUAGACAUCUAUACAUCUGUAGAUCUAUGCAUAUAUACAUCUAAACGUUGUACAUUCAUACAUCAUACAAGUAUACAUCAUAUAUUUAUACAUCAUACAUCUAUGCAUCUUACAUCUAUACAUCGUACAUCUAUACAUCUGUAGAUCUAGAACCGAGUCCUUUCAGGGUCCAGGUGACCUCAGAGGUCAGAGGUCAUGAGAGUUCAGGGCUUGAAAAGUGCGACAGUUUGAACAUCUACGUGUGAACAUCUAUAAACCUGCACAGGUGAGUCCAGGCGGAGUUUACCUGAGUUUCCUCAUAGAUCCUCACACCUACGGUGGUCUAUGAUAUUUUAUAUCUAUAUCGCCGUCGUCACGCUCGGCGUCGUUCACAGAUUUACCUGACUCCUCCCCCUCCUGACGGACUCACCUUUACCUGAGCGGAGAGUCGAUAAACAAACAUCAACGACAGUCAGAGAAACGAACGAAAACUUUAUUGAUCAACAGGAUAAAAAACAAAAGUUUAUAAUCAAUACGAGUUUAUUGAUCAGAGCAGGUGAAAAUCUGAUCAGAUCGACAUAAAAAAGAUUAAAAUCACCGUCUGAAAUCAUCGAACACAAACUUUUAUUUCUACCAAACAGGAUUUAAAGUUUUCUUUGACUUCUGUUUAUUCAUGUUAUUUAAGUUUCCUUUAUUUUGAUACAUUUAUGUCCUUCCUGUUUUAUUUUGAAAGAUCUCUAACCCUUGUGUCUGUCUUCUUUUUUUAAAAAUAUAUUUGUUUUAAUUUUUGUACUUUUUAAAUUUAAUUAAUUUAUUAAAUUUUAUUUAUAUUAUUUAUUUAUUUAUUUAUUUUGUUUCUGUCUUCUAUUUUAAAACACAAACUUAUUUAAUUUUUAAAAUGUUUUAAUGUUUUUUACAUUUAUUUACUUAUUAUUUAUUUAUUCCAUUUUUUUUGUUUGUUUCUUUCUUCUUUUUUUAAUAUAUAUUUUAUUUUUUUUACAUUUUUUAAAAUAAUUUAUAAAGUUUUUAUUUAAAAUUUUUUUAACCUUUUUUUUGUUUGUUUCUGUCUUCUAGGUUCGUUCCUGUCCGGUCUGCCCCGCCCCCGGGUUCGUCCCACCUGUCUCCCAUCACCCUCGUUUCCUCUCCUUGUGAGUCUCACCGUCUCGUUCAGUGUCAUUGUUAACCCGUGUUUGACCUUUGACCUGUCUGUUCCUCCUCUCUGAGCCUCGUUUCGUGACGAUCAGUGCGGUGAUAAAAAUCCCCAAAAACACACACAGCUCUUAUUUUCCCUGCGACCUCAGCAGGAUGACGCGUCACUCAUCUCAGAUCCAAGAGUCGAACCUUCACUCCUCAGUUAGAGUCCAAACACCUGAUUCAGUUCUUCAUGAAGAGGGACGUCUGUGACCUUCAGGACUUUAAAUUUACAGAAAUAUAAAUAAAAAGACAAAAGAACUUUUAUCAUCUCAAAUAUCAAACUCAUUAAUCCUAAAACACGAUUGUUUAAAUUAGUAACACCAUCACUAUCUGGUGAUUUUAACUGAAAUAAUAAACCCAAGAAAAACUCCUGGUCAUCCAAAUUUAUCAAAAUAGGGCCGAACGUGAAAAAUUAAAGUCGUUUUCUUUUAUUUUUAACUGUUUAGUGUCCAAAGGGAGUUUUUGUCGUAUUUUUUGUCGUUUUUGUCGCUCCAUCAUUAGUUUUUGUUUUUGUGUUUCUCUGUAGUUGUUUUUUUUUUUGUUGUUUUUGUGUCUCUGUCGUCAGUUUUUGUCGUAUUUUUGUUUCUCUGAAAAUCACCCUGCGAUCGUCUUCUAGGGUUAAAUCACAGAAAUAUAAAUAAGGAGACAAAAAAAACUUUAUUUGAAAUGAUUUGAAAUGUCAAACUCAUUAAAAGUGAGGAGUGACAGCAGUGUUGGGUUGAUGGCUCAGACGGCCACAGGGAGGCGCUGUAAGGUCAGAGAAGCUGCAGAGAAGCUGCAGAGCAGAGCGGUGGUUCUCUG
Non-coding RNA from Xyrichtys novacula (pearly razorfish), 2718 nucleotides. The record is from the annotation of a GenBank genome assembly. NCBI's taxonomy places the organism in Eukaryota, Metazoa, Chordata, Actinopteri, Labriformes, Labridae.